This is a long non-coding RNA of Daphnia pulex (common water flea), 1093 nucleotides long. RefSeq lists it as uncharacterized. The record is from RefSeq and is a predicted model, not a curated record. The transcript is spliced from 5 exons. Lineage: Eukaryota; Metazoa; Arthropoda; Branchiopoda; Diplostraca; Daphniidae.
CAGUUAUCGGUAAAGGAGAAAAAAUCUAAACCUCCACUGAAAGUAAUUCAUCUAAAUUCAAAGAGGAAUCCGUUCUUGUUAAGCCUUGGAGCCUUGCCGUUAACUUAAAAAACACAUACCAUCUGAGCAUCUAUCACUCUGUAGGCUUCCAGGCUAUGGCCGCUGUCGGCUGUCGCCGUGGCGUCUCGUGGAUUUUUCUUGCAUCAAUGAGUAUGCACAAAAUAACCUGGGAUUGCAGAAGUGAAUAUUAUUUUACUUUUAUGCAUUACAGGCGGCAAAGCCAUGUUAACACAAGUCACAAGUUACAGGAGUUAGAGUAAUUAUAAACAAAAAGAAUUGUUUACCAAACAAAUCUGGAAGUUGAUCUAGGGUGCACGUUUGAAUAAACUCUGAGUUGACUUCCGGAUUUGUUUGCGACGUACGAAUGCAUCUACUUAUUUAGCGUCAGAAUUUUCUCGAAAUAAUAAGUUCUCUUCGCAUGUUAUUUGCCGCUUUCGGUGUUGAUGAAGCCCAAAUAUCUAUUUUUUUUCGACUGUCUGGGUUUCGUCCACAUUGAAAGCGUUGGAUUCCCAAUUAUAUUUUUCUAUAAAUUCUUGACAGUUUUAUACUGUACCGAGUUCUUACUAUGAUUCUCUUCUACUUUAUAAUGGCAUCAUUCUUUCUUUCGGUCACUGAAGCCCAAUCAAUCAGUAAUUCAUUCUUAAAAGACUGUUGCACUUAAAAGAAGCAUUUGUUUCUUGGAUUUAAGGUCAAACCUUUUUGCUACUUUUUAUUACUUCAUAAAGUAAGGAGAACAAUUUAGAUUGAAGUUUAGUUUUCUUGUGUGCAUUUGUUUUGUUGACUUUUUAAAGAAUUUUAUGGGUUGGCCAUUCCUGUAUCCUAUUGCAAACUCUUUCAGAUUUGAAUCGAAAGCCCACCGAUAUGUCAACUGCAAACGUAUCGUCGAAGACAUCGUUUAACAUAACGAGUAUUUUGGCAAUUGGUAUAAAGUGAGUUUUAAUCCAUAACUAUUUGGUAUUUAUUUUGAUAUUUGUUGUUGCAGGCCCAUCCCCAACAACGUCAACCUGCAGAAGGAAAAGCCAGUUUGCAUGUC